Molecule: ribosomal RNA, 521 nt
Filed under: uncultured bacterium
Lineage: Bacteria
Description: bacterial SSU rRNA
Rfam family: Bacterial small subunit ribosomal RNA
Source: RNAcentral
AGGAGUUUGAGUUAUGGCUCAGGAUGAACGCUAAGCGGCAGGCUUAACACAUGCAAGUCGAGGGGCAGCGAGGAGUAGCAAUACUCUGUCGGCGACCGGCGGACGGGUGCGUAACGCGUAUGCAACCUACCCAUUACAGGGGGAUAACACUGAGAAAUUGGUACUAAUACCCCAUAACAUUCGGAGAGGCAUCUUUCUGGGUUAAAAAUUACGAUGGUAAUGGAUGGGCAUGCGUUGUAUUAGCUAGUUGGUGAGGUAACGGCUCACCAAGGCGACGAUACAUAGGGGGACUGAGAGGUUAACCCCCCACAUUGGUACUGAGACACGGACCAAACUCCUACGGGAGGCAGCAGUGAGGAAUAUUGGUCAAUGGACGGAAGUCUGAACCAGCCAUGCCGCGUGCAGGGAAAGACGGCUCUAUGAGUUGUAAACUGCUUUUGUACGAGGGUAAACGCAGAUACGUGUAUCUGUCUGAAAGUAUCGUACGAAUAAGGAUCGGCUAACUCCGUGCCAGCAGCUGC